This 400-nucleotide ribosomal RNA is filed under the name uncultured bacterium. RNAcentral's name for it is "bacterial SSU rRNA". It matches the Rfam family "Bacterial small subunit ribosomal RNA", at positions 356 to 773 of the family's 1533-position model. The record is from RNAcentral.
GGGGAAUAUUGCACAAUGGGGGAAACCCUGAUGCAGCGACGCCGCGUGAGUGAAGAAGUAUUUCGGUAUGUAAAGCUCUAUCAGCAGGGAAGAUAAUGACGGUACCUGACUAAGAAGCCCCGGCUAACUACGUGCCAGCAGCCGCGGUAAUACGUAGGGGGCAAGCGUUAUCCGGAUUUACUGGGUGUAAAGGGUGCGUAGGUGGCAAGGCAAGUCAGAUGUGAAAGCCCGGGGCUCAACCCCGGUAUUGCAUUUGAAACUGUUUAGCUAGAGUGCAGGAGAGGUAAGUGGAAUUCCUAGUGUAGCGGUGAAAUGCGUAGAUAUUAGGAGGAACACCAGUGGCGAAGGCGGCUUACUGGACUGUAACUGACACUGAGGCACGAAAGCGUGGGGAGCAAAC